CCCAGCUGCUGCCCGUUCUGAACCACAAGACCUACAUUGAUCUGAUCUUCCCAGACUGCCUGGCACCACGAGUCAUGUUGGAACCAGCUGCUGAGACCAUUCCUCAGACCCAAGAGAUCAUCAGUGUCACGCUGCAGGUGCUUAGUCUCUUGCCACUGUACAGACAGUCCAUCUCUGUUCUGGCCGGGUCCACCGUGGAAGAUGUCCUGAAGAAGGCCCAUGAGUUAGGAGGAUUCACAUAUGAAACACAGGCCUCCUUGUCAGGCCCCUACUUAACCUCCGUGAUGGGGAAAGCGGCCGGAGAAAGGGAGUUCUGGCAGCUCCUCCGAGACCCCAACACCCCACUGUUGCAAGGUGAGUCAUGGCCUGACACCCUGGAUGUGUCCCCUACCCCAAGCUUACCCAGCCAAGAGGCUUCGUCAACUCACCCCAGCUUUCCCUAGCACCCUCCUGGGCCACAGCUUCACAAAAUCACUGAUGCUCAAAGUUGGAUAUAAUAUAUUGAACUGAAGCCUUAGAAUUUUUAUGCAAGUUAUUGUGGAAAUUCUAGGAAACCAGACAGAUUAC
RNAcentral lists this small RNA (567 nucleotides) under Pan troglodytes (chimpanzee). RNAcentral's name for it is "retained intron". The record is from RNAcentral. Lineage: Eukaryota; Metazoa; Chordata; Mammalia; Primates; Hominidae.